RNAcentral lists this ribosomal RNA (253 nucleotides) under uncultured bacterium. Its description in RNAcentral is "partial 16S ribosomal RNA". It matches the Rfam family "Bacterial small subunit ribosomal RNA", at positions 524 to 776 of the family's 1533-position model. The record is from RNAcentral.
UACAGAGGUCCCAAGCGUUGUUCGGAUUCAUUGGGCGUAAAGGGUGCGUAGGCGGCGCGGUAAGUCGGGUGUGAAAUCUCGGAGCUUAACUCCGAAACUGCAUUCGAUACUGCCGUGCUUGAGGACUGGAGAGGAGACUGGAAUUUACGGUGUAGCGGUGAAAUGCGUAGAUAUCGUAAGGAAGACCAGUGGCGAAGGCGGGUCUCUGGACAGUUCCUGACGCUGAGGCACGAAGGCCAGGAGAGCAAACGGG